This 10845-nucleotide long non-coding RNA is filed under the name Phoenix dactylifera (date palm). RNAcentral describes it as "long non-coding RNA (PDAC_LNC007765)". Lineage: Eukaryota; Viridiplantae; Streptophyta; Magnoliopsida; Arecales; Arecaceae. The record is from RNAcentral.
GUUUGAGAGGUCUUUUACUGGUUUUGACUAGGAAGCAUGCCAAAAGCUCUCAUAUGCAUCCUAGCCCCCCUCUCUCUCCCUGUCUAUAUGUACAUACCAUAUAUUAUUAAAUAAUUAUGGUAAAAUAUGUUAUACCAUAUACACAUAUACAUAUAUAAUCAGAUCAUUACCAGAUUGGAUCACUAUUUGAAAAAUCUUUAUAUCUACCCAUCGAUCCAUCUAUCUUUAUAUCUACCCAUCUAUCCAUCCAUUUGAAUGUGCAUAUUAUUAGAUAAUUAUUGUAAAAUAUGCUAUAUCAGGUACAUAUAUACAUAGAUAUACACAUUCAGAUGCACGUAUAAUGAUUGGAUCACUAUUUGAAUCAUCUUUAUAAGUGAAUUGAUCAAUUGGAUGAGAUUCUUAACAAAUUACUGUACCAAAAACUCCUUUUUGGACAUAGGCUAUUGGAUCAAGUUCAAGUCGAUUAAGAUCGAAAUCUGAUCUAUUGACGAGCUUAUUAACACGAUUCAUGUUGCACCAUUAGCUUUCUAGACAGCUCAAACAACUGUUUUUUUAAGAAAAAGACCUAUUUAUGAUUAGACUACAGGUUUUCAUUUAAAUUAUAAACAUUUUUUACAAAAUUAAAAAGGCACCCACACACACCGUCCUGAGGUUCCAUUUCAAGGGACUUUGCAUUCAAUUAGAGCUAGAGGUGAAGCAAAACUCCUGCUUAAUCCUGCCUACAUCUCUAUAUACUUCAACUUAUCAGCCUUUGUGGAAGUGGGCCAAUAAAUCAUUCUCUUCCUCAAAUUAUAUAUCUGUGUAUAACAGAAUAACCAUGAAUCCAACAUAUAUGGUGGACUCUGGGGCCUCCCUGUUUAGAGUCCAGCAGCAUACUGGCUUCCGUGGCACGCCCGUAGAAGCUGAAGCAAAGGCCUGAUAUCUACAGCUUCCCUUACAUUGAGGGGGCGGGUCUGACAUCAGGAAAUAUUGUUUCAAGCAAAAGCACAAGCAAUGCAUGUGCCGGAUUCUAGUUCUUACAAUACUAGAAAAGCCAAAAGCAACACCCUAACCAUCAGAGGAAGAUGAUAGUUAGUUUCCCCCUUGUGGUUAAGAAAGAAAUGUUGAUUUUAGUGGCCUGAGAGUAAUUUCCAUUUCUUAACAAGAAAUCCAUUGCCUGAUAGAAUAAGUAGGAAGACAAAAGAAAAUUUUAUAUAUGGAAAUAGUUACAUGCAAUGAGAUCUCAUGAGCAAUGCUACAGUAACUCGGAAAAUUACUCAAUAAAGUCAGCUGUCUUGCACCACCCAGUAUGCUUUGUUAUGUGAAACAAAUACACAAUGCCAAUACAAAGGGAGCAAUGAGAAUACAACAAACCAGUUAAGCGACUUAUUAACAUUUUAAGUUACUCUAGCAUUUUCCAUAUCUCAUACUCAAUUGAAUGAAAAUUAACCAUGCAUUCCAUGGCAACAUGUGAAAAGAAGACCAGAAAAUACUAAGGAUGAUAUAUUUAGUAUUCCAAGGGACCUGGGCAAAACCAUUAAAAUCUGAAAAAUUUCAAAACGCUUGUUCAGCCACUAAAUUUAGCAGUGGACAAAUGGAGUGUCAAAGAAGUAUCCACAUGAUCGAUCAAUCAAUCAUGUACAGGAUUCUGGUUAUUGUAAAUGGAGUAGGAAUCUGUUGUUUCCUACGAAAUACAAUUUCUUUAGAUCUCUUCUGCUAAUUCUACAUCAUACUCAUGCAACUUCCAUGUGAUAAGUCUAAGAGAAAGCAUGACAUUUUCAAUUGAAAAUGAACUACAUGGACAUUAAUGCAAGCAAGAGGCAUGAUAGGCUAAGUAAAUUUAAAAGAAUGUGCUAAAUAAAUAAGUAUAAAUAAUAGGAGAGCACAAAGGGAUAAUUAUAUAAUUCGAUAUAGAAAACAUACAGGCCUUUCUAGGAGUUACUUCCAAUUUUUAGACAAAUACGUUAUAUAGAGAGAAAGGGACUCACAAAGCUGGAAAAUUUGGUGAUUUUGAAAGGGCUGAAAUUUACUGGAGCUUCUUCCAGAAACAACUCCACAUAGUGAAGUACGAAAAGGCCGCAGUCAAAUGAAUUCUCCUGUUGCGGCAACUAUGACAUAAAGUAAUAAGUUAGUAAGCAACUACUAAUCAGCAAAAAAGAAAAGAAUGGAUAAAGUUAUCCCAACGUAGAGCUAAGAGUGGCAAAUAGAAGAUUAAUGCCAUGCAAAUGCAAGAUUCAUGAAUGAGGAUACAAAAACAUAAAUUUUGAUAAAAUUCAGUGGAAGUUAGUUAGCAUUAAGAGCAUAAAUUCCAUUGAAAACAAGGAGACAAUAUUGAACAAUAUUGACUUUGAGAAUCUGUCAGGAAGAAGAGUGACAUACAUGUCAAAUGUCAUGACAAAAUAUGAUUUUAUAAGCCAAAAAAUAUAAAACAAAAGAAAUAGUCAAGAAAACAUUAAACAUUAUACUUCAAGGAACAAAUAACAAGAAAUGCAAGUUGCAGAUUACUAUGUUCAGAAUUUGUAUGACUUAAAAAAAAUGCAUAGGGCACAACAAGACCCAAAUUAUUAUUCAUAGCAAAAUACGGCAAACUCGCAAACAAGGCUGUCGAAAUGGUUAGGCAAAGCCAGGCAGUGGACACACUUUAUGAACUAGAAGGAGGCCUAGGCACUUAGGCAACUGCCUAGCAAGGAAAGCAACUUCAGUUCUUGAUAAUGAAUGCCAUUAGAUAUGCAUCAAUAAGUAGGUAUUUAUGAUACAUACACUAUUUUCACAAUAUAUGGAAUCAUGAGACCUUUUCUUCACACAAAAAAAUCCAAAGAUCAAAAUCUACAGGAAGAAGGAGAGCACCAAUAGCAUUGCUGCUACUGCAACAACUAGCAAAUUAUGGAGCCACGGAAAAGUAGCCAACACCGGUUAAGGCAUAGAAGCAGAAGGAAGAAGAGAAGAAGGACAGGGAAAUAGCAAAAAUCAGACUGCAGCGCCAUAUCAAACACCCAUCAAAAGAGAAGAAAGAAGAAUAGGGGCUAGCAGGAAAGAUGAAGGGGAAGAGCAUGAAAAAUAGGGUAAGCACGGCCAGAUGAAGAAGAAGUGGUAUUAGAAGAAAAGGAGGAGAGGAACCAAAGGAAGUCAAUAGAAGAAUACAAAUGAGAAAGGAAGGAAAAAAGGUAAUAGAAAACAAGCAUACAUAACUGGCACCAAUACUGGUGACCCGUCAUAGCCUCCACUACCCUCCAAUAUGUCCCAUAUGGGGCUCAAAUAGGGAAAGAAUGAUAUAAAAAAAUUUCUUCAAAGAAGUAGGCUUUUGGUAAGCUUGUACUAGGUGAAUUGACCGAAUAAGCACCUAGGCAACCUCCUUUGACAACACAGCUCCUAAAAGUAACAUAAAAACCCACUAAUAUCAAGGUCUGCAAAAGUAGUAUCGACAAUUGUAUCAAUAUGUUACUGGUUCGAGCUGGACACACCCUAUACCAACACAAGCUCCCAAUACUUUUUGCUCACUCCCAGCCAUGGUACUGCCGAAAUGGGUGGUAGGGCUUCGUAUCAGGUGGUAUAGGGAGGUUCUCCUUAGUACAGGCACAUAUGGACCAGUUUGGCUCAUGUACCGAACCGAACCUCAAUACCUUACCAGUAAGGUACAUCAAUAGGAGAAGGUAUGAGUCAAGACAAAAGACCUUGCUAAAUAUUGGCUGGGAGAGUGUGGCACGUGUACUUGAUCCAGUAGUAGAAUGUGGAGCAUAGGGGAGGUAGCAUGCCAACAUUACAGGACUAGAUAUUACUUUUGCAAGGUAUGAUAUUAACCAAGGUGGCACACAAUGUCUCACAAUGUAUAUUCCUAAAAGCAUAGCCAAUGAGCCAAGGAUGACUUGUAGUCACCAAGAUACUAAAAUGGAGAAUGACACCCACAGGCAGAACAGAACCGUCAUCUGAUUAGGUGACCUCUAUAUGCCAAACUCGACAAAUAUGCACACUGAUAUGUAAUAUAACAUUCCUGUGAUUAUAUGGAAAUAAGAAACGAGGUUUCAUAAAAAGCAAUUUUAGUCAGCAAUCACAUGAAAAGUCUUGAUGUCCAUACCACACAUGAACAUAUUGGCCAUGAUCUUAUGCAUUUUUUUAUAUUCAAAAAAGUUCAUUUGGAUGCAAAAAGUUAAGUAUAAAUUUGUUGGCGAACUCUAGGCUCUUGAGAAGAUAACACAUUGUCAUGAAAGACUUAGCACAAUAAAAAAAUCUAAAAUUUGCUUCAAUGCUGAUCCAUUGUGCAUCAUAGCCCGAUUCUUAGAUGCCAGAAGCUGGAGCAGGUGCAAAAGUAGAUUCAGGUGCAGGUAUGGGGAAUGGGUCUCUCAAAGAAAAAAGGGAAAUUAAAAUAAGGAAGUGCUUUGGUAAUAGGUAUGAGGACAAGUUUUUGAAGUGGAUACCUACCCUAACUAGAAGUUUCAAGAUAUUAAGGCCAGGUUUUGGCAAGUAGAAUGUAGUUUCAAAUUUUGGACACCACAUUAAUUGCUUUUAACACUGUGGUUGAAGGGUUUCAGGCAUGGAUUCAAUAACUGCUAGAAUGAGCCAGUAUGACCAGUAUCAAAUUGUCCUGGUGCAAAGCUAGCACCUGCACAAGUGUCGAAACACCAAAACCCUGUGUUCCAGUAUAUACCAGCCGUACUGAUGUAUACUGGUACACAUUGGUCCAUACAGCUGUACCUUACUAACCACACCGGUGCAUACCAAGAGUCUUUCAUUGUUCUAAGGUGUAAAUUUCAGUGCAUACCAACAGUCCCAAUAUCAUACCAAUAUGAUAAUGGUACCAUACCAUUCCAAUAGAAAAAUGUUACAGGUUCGGUAUCAGUUUUUAAAACCUUGGCCUAAGGCAUUUAGGUUUCAUUUGGUCCAACUUAGGUUGCUUUCAAAAUUAUGGAAGCAUUAGGCAGUAAGUCCACAAUCAAGGAUAUAGAGUGCCAGUUUCAGGACCUAUUGUUUACGAAGCUGCACUUAAAAGGUUGAUGCCUUAUAAGAUUUCAACAUUAUGAUUUAAAUAAAGUCUAAGAGCCAAAUGUAUUUUGCGUAUAUUCUCAAAAUUUGGUUGACCGAAACUUUGUAAUGCACCUACCACAUUCAGUUCAUUGCUGGUUGACAAGAGGGCAGUACAAAAAAACCCACAAUAAAGGAGCUGAAGUUUGUGAUGCAUGCAACACCAAUUACAAAUCUUCAAAGAAUUGAAUCAUAUAAGAUGCUCAAAUGAGUUUCACCCUGUUCACACUAUACAGUGUUGUCUGAAAUACAUAAAAGUAAACCAAUUAAAAUGUCUGGGCCAAAACAAGCUGAAAAAUCAGAAAUCAACCACAUGAUUGUGGAACUUGUUCUGGCCUUUCGGACCAAGGUUCACCAACAUGAGAUCUAAAAUUGAAAUUAUGACCUAAUGCUACUAACACAACAUUUGGACUGGUUUAGUGGCCCCAUGGAUCAUCCAAAAGAAUUGAGUGGAUGCAAACAAAAUGCCAUGGUUUGUCGAACUGUGCUAAACCGGCCGGUUCAGGGCAUACCAAACCGAACCGAACCGGUCAGCUACUGGCAUGGUUCGAUAAUAUCGGUUUCGGUUUAUGAUUGCUCGUCCUCAGCAUUUUUUUUCAUUCAAUAGUAGCUUCGCCCGUUCCCCUCCCUUGAAACCCUAAUCUCCAUCACCGGUGCUCGACNNNNNNNNNNNNNNNNNNNNNNNNNNNNNNNNNNNNNNNNNNNNNNNNUGACAACACGUCUCUCCUCCUCUCUCUCUCUCUCUCCCCCUCCCCCUUUGACGACAACAACCUCCUAGCCCUUCCCCCUCUCUCUCGGCCUCUACCUCCCCCCCCCUCUCCCACUCCCUCUCUUUUCCUCUCUCUCCUCCCUCCACUCCUACCACUUCGGAUCCUUUGUUAAUGGUACGCCCCAAAACGGCAUGGUAUGAACUCGUACCAUGCUGAACCGGUCGCUAACCGGUACACCUUUUGAUAUCAAUUCGGCAAACCUUGAUACUAUGUUUCUUCCAAAUAAAAAAUAUCUAACCAUGGAGAGCCAUGAAGAUAUUUUCCUCUCUAAGUUAUCUAACAUGCCUAUAGAUUUAAACAGAUAUAGCACCCCCUUCCACCUCACUUUUCUUCUAAAACCAAUAUUCAAAUUUAUACAAACAUAUGACCAACUUCUACAAUAGAUUAUCAAUAUUAUUAGAUUAACAAUUCCAACACAUAAAAGUCCUUUAAACAAGAUACGAAGUAACCUACAUUAAUAUACCAGUGAUGAUGAACCUACAAGAAGUAUGCUCACCAACGCCUAUCUCUUUGUAAAAAUGCAAACAAACAAGUAAAGCAUUCAUUUAUUCUCAAGAGCAUACACUAAUUUCCAAUUUCAAUUGUCACUUGACAUUUGUAGCAAGAAUUGGAUUAUGCAUGACCUGUUACAAAUAAUAAUAGCAGCUUUUCCUAGCUCCAUUAAGCUGUCAUUAAAACAGAGAAACAAACCUCAAGUGAGACAAAUCUUAAGUUUGAGAACUUUGAUGAAUUAUCCUCCGAUGAUUCUGGGUGUCUUUCCUUCCAUUCCUCCCAUAGGUAACUGCCACUCUCCAGAAAAGAGAACUAAGCAUUGCAUUCAUCUAAACAAAGAUUCUAGUAAACUGCUGGAUAUCAUGGCAAGGGUAAAAGAAAAACAAAGAGUUUUAUAACAGGGAAAAUAUAAAGAAAAUAUGUCCUCCAAACAACAGUUCUACCAGGGCAAAGGACAUUCUAAGUCCUUUAAGUUAUUCUGAAAGUUUAGUGUACAUAAUGAAUCAAAAGUCAAUGAUCUCAGGAAGUUUACAUAUUUCAGUUAUAUAUGUGUUGACAGUGGAAAUCUUUAAUAAAUGGAUAUUUCAUCCAAGCAAUUACUUUGGUUGAGUUGCAUAAGAUUUUUAGGCCCCUGAUGUUUGUCAUGUGCAUUGUAACCUGUAAAUUGACCAACAGUAUCAAUAACAUCCACUGCCAAAUGCAAGAUGGGCAAUUACUCGCUUUAUAUGGUAUGCAUAAUGUUAAAUGCAUUUCCGAAUUAAAAGGUUUUUUAAAUCAUAAUAUGGCCUUCCAUGGGCCAAAGCUGUAACGAACACCUCUUGGGUUUACCUCCAAAUAAUUAGAAACCUUUCCAAACCAGAAACCAUUUCCCAAACCUGAAUAACUUAUGCCCCAUUGAUCAUUUAAACUAUAACACUCCCCAAAUAAGUAAAGCCCAGAAGCAUCCUAUUCAAUUAACAAUUGCCCAAAAACCAAUACCACACACCUAACCCUCUUUACUCAGAACCCAAUUACCCUAUAACAGCAUAACUUACCUAUCUGUUGAAACUCGUAUCUCCAAAAGCCUAAAAGCCUAUAAUUGUGAAUCGAUCCUCAAAGCAACAAUCCAACCUCAAUCUACCAUCAAUAUAGCCCAUGAAGCCCAACUGACCAUCUUAGUCCAAAAACCAAUACCAACCAUCAUAGACCCCAAGGUCAAACCAUAUCGCCACCAUUUAAGCAUCAUACUAGCCGCUUGAAAGUUGAAAACCUACUCAUCUAUUUAGCAUAGACACAUUCAAAGAUCCUGGUAAUGGCAACUUCCAACAAAAUUGGCACAUGAAAUUUAUUUUGUCUUUGAGUGUUAUAACAUGGUUUUAGGGAUAGAACAUUACCAUACUAAUAUCCAAGUAGGCGCACCUAAUAAAACAUGUGGAAGAACAUCGCUUAUCAUUCCUAUGUUCUCCACCAAAAACAUCUAUGUUUCAAGGUUUUAAAACUUGGUUUUAGUUUCGGUUUUGAUCCCUCAGACCGAGAUUCGGUUUCAACAGUUUCUGUCCAAGCUUCAGAGUUUCAGUCUGAAAAAAAAAUAAACAAAGAAGAUGAGAAAAGUUAUCAUACAACAAUUUGAACUAUUUUAGUUAUAUAGGUUAUCUAUAGUUUCUAUAAUUUAGGAAUGAAAUUAGAAUUGCAAGUGAGUGAAAUUAGGCAUUCUAAUAUUUUCUACUUUAAAUAUAUGUUUAUGUAUGUGUGUUUGUAUAUAUGCAUGCAAGGAUGCAUUACUUACUUCUUGAGCAUCAGUUGUUUAAAAUUCAUUUCAUUUGAUAUUUAGUACAACUGAGCAAUUGAAUUUUGGGCAUUUUUCUCAUAUUUUAGAUGCCAAGACUCUAUUUAGUCAAAUGCAUGCACUUGUCGGAUGUUAACUAUUUUAUAUAAAAAUGUGUUAUUUUUGUGAAACGCGUUGUAUCGAGUUGUUCACGUUAAUCCUUCCUCUCUAUAGAGAACCAUGAUAAGGGUUUAUUUGAAAGCCUUGGUUCAUCAAACAUCUAUCUCCUCUUUUAACUCAAGAAAAAGAACAAAGCAGCAAGAAAAAAACCUGCACCCUAAAAUCGGUAUUCUAUAACCUAUCAAUGUUUUUGGUCAGUUUCAGCAGAAACUCGCUAAAACCAUCAAAACUGGAUCAAGAUCAGCCAGUUUCAGCUGAGACUGACCAAGAGCACCGAAAUUUAUCGAAACCAAAAAUUGAGGUCAAUUUCUGUUCGCGUUUGACAGUGUUCCAUUACGGCCCAAAUGAAUCGGUUUCAGCUGAAACAAAAAACCUAUCUUUUAGCUUGUGCAUAGAAUAAAUAACAAAAUCAAUAACCAUAACUCAGACAAAAGUAGUAAACUUUGACAAAAUUUAGCAAGCAUCAAGUCAUAUGCAAGAUAAAUCUUCCAUGUAGGAAGUGCACCUCUACAUAUAACAUAACCCGUAUAUAUAGCAAACUUCAGAUUUCUUGUUCUCACUAGUUAUCAACCUAAAGUCUCCACCUUUUUCAUCCCAGCAGCAAGUUGUGUAUAUAUAUGCACAGACCUACUUACCACAUGAACUAGAGAGCACACAAAUAUAUGAAUGUCAUAAUAGUUUUACGGACUCCACCAAAUUCUCAGCUUCUACAAGGGUUUAACUGUAUCACUGCCUCAUAAAGCCUCAAAAAUAUAACAAUGCGAAAUCAAUAUAAUUGGUGCAAAUAUUCCAAGUUAUUGUACAGAAGAGGGAAUGAAAAAUAAAAAAAGAAAACUUUCAUUAAAUAAAUUAUCACAUAUGAAUGACAAAAAUCAAGAUGAAAAAGCAUUAAAAAACUAAACAAUCAGUGAUCACAUGAGACUGCAGUUGCAUGAACGGUGCAGAAGAUUCAUUACGGGCUCCUCGCAGUCAUGGAUGGUAUGCGCUUAAAUUAUUUUUUAAAGGUAAAAACAUGACGCAUUUAUUUCAUGGAUAGCACACACUGUAUUCUGUCGGUGUACCAAUUGCUGGACCCUUGCCUUUUCUACAUCAUACAAUAUGAUGGAAUAUAUCCAGCAUCAUGUCUAUCCUUGGCUGGAAUGGGCAUGAUAUAAGAUACCCUAAAAACCAUGAGACAGAAGGUUUUUCACACAUGAAGGCUGCAUAAGACAUUAGAGAAGGUCAAUAAGGUACAAACCUUUGAAUAAUAUUCUUGAGACCAGUAUGACUGCCCUUAAUGGAAUCCAUAUGCAAUACACACGGUACUUUAGAUGACUCCUUUACAUCAUCAUCUGACAAAAAAAAAAAAAAAAAAAAUACAUGAGUACAAAAUGAUACUUGUAGAAUGAAGAAAAAAGAUUCACACAGAAACUCUUGCCUCUGAAACUUGCUACUUCUCCAGGAUGACAAACAAGAAGCAAACUCCAGUGCAGACUGUAGUUUGAGGUCAUAAUUCAAAUUAGAAUUUUAAGAUUAAUUUCUUCAAAGAUAUAUAAAAAAAUGAGAAUAGUAUUCUUACUUGAAGUUAACUGGUAUGAAAAUGUAAUCUUUUGCAAAUAUAUCUACUUUCCUUGUCCAUUUAUGGACACGUAGGAAAGCAGCUCUACCUUCUGAAGCACUGCCCAGAUCCUUGUCCAGAUCCACUAGCUUACGGAAGAAAAAACUGUUGAAGAAAUGGAAUCUAUGCUUCUCAUUAGGUUCAAGCUUGUUCUUCAAAUACCUGCAAUCAAGUACACCACAAAGAACUCUAUUUUAAUACAGGUCCACACAAACAAGGACAAGUAACAAAAGAACGUCCAUAAUAAGCAGAAAGGAUACAGUUUACUCCAAAUUCAGAAAAACAAUGGUAUAUGAUAACAAAAAUAUAUAUAUAUAUUUCAUAACCUUCUUUCUUCUUUUUUGUACUUCAUGGUAACUACAGAAGAUAUUUCUAGAACAAGAGAUUAGAGCGAUGUUAGCAUUGUCAUUUAGCAAAUCUCUUUUUAAAACCGCACCAUGGUAUGGUAUCUAUGCAAUAUUGAUGGUCAAUCGAGACAACAUGAUCAUAUGACAUAAAGAGAGAGGGCGGAGAGGGCGAAGGAGAGGAAGAGAGAGGAGGAGGGAGCGAAGGAGGGAGAGAGAGAGAGAGAGAGAGAGAGAGAGAGGNNNNNNNNNNNNNNNNNNNNGAGAGAGAGAGAGGGAGCGAGAAAGGGAGGCAAGUGACCGGUAAUAUGCUCUAUCUAAAUCAUUGAAAACCAUAUUAAUAUCUUUUCUCUUUUCUGGUAUUAAACUAAAUUGAUUCUCCAAUAUUUUUGAAUCACAUCUCAAUCUGUGCUCAAUUACCCUCUUCCAAAGUUUUAUAGUAUGGUUCACAAGUUUAAUACCAUGACAGUUAGAACAAUUUUGAAUAUCACCUUUUACCUUUUUUAGAGUAGUGCACAUAAAAAUGCUUUAAAAGUUAAAAGAAUAUCCAUAUCAUAGCAAGAAAAAGAAUCCAAAGUACUAAAGAAUUCUAAAAAGACAUCAAAUUUUACCUUGUAAUUAACUUUAACAAGUGAACUAUGUUCUACCGGUCAACAACUCAUGAUAAGGGAGCAAAUAACCAACAAUGCAGGAUUGCGUACAUGGUUGAGAUAGAUAUAUUUU